Molecule: non-coding RNA, 1537 nt
Organism: Heterocephalus glaber (naked mole-rat)
Lineage: Eukaryota; Metazoa; Chordata; Mammalia; Rodentia; Bathyergidae
Source: RefSeq, a predicted model, not a curated record
ACUGUGAUGGGGGGAGGGGAGAGGAGGGGGAGAAGACACGAAGGAAAAAGCACUGUGGCCAGUCGGUGGUUUUCUAAGACCCCGACCCCGAAUUUCUCAGCCAUUAGGGCUGUCGCAAGUUGUGUUCUGCAGGCGAGGCCAACGCUAUGAUCUCGGGGCGUGGCGGGCUGGGGUCCAGCGAGGCAGCCGCACACGCCGGCCACGCUCCGCACCUCAGGACGCCCGCACGGCUUGGGCUCGGCUGGCUCCGCGGCCUCGACCUCCACGACAGGAGCCGAGGCCCAGGCAGGAAAGGCCCACGACGCCCGGGCCCAGCCGCAGCAGCAGCAGAAAGCACGAGGACUCAACCGCCCGACUCGGAGGGCUGGCAGUGCCCGCGCACCGAGACUCCGCUCCAGAGCCCGGGGCUCCGUGGUUUUCACCUGAGACGCCCUCCACAGCCCACGCACACUCAGAGAAGGGAGGACGCCUUCUCAGAAAAGGGGCUACCACGCAGGUCUCUGCAAAAAGAGGGCCACCUUGAAAGCUUCUAGUUCCCUCCGAUUCUUCCAAGAACCCUCAAUAACGUCGUCAGAUUAAAUGGAAAGAAAAAUCAAAGGAAGGUUGUAGGAGCUGCAGAAGAAAGCACCACACUGAAAGUGACUCUCAAGUACACCAGGAAUCAUUUGUCUUGUGUAUCAAAGCUGCCAUGGUCUUAGAAGCAGUCACUUAGGAUUUCAAUGAAUAUGCUGAAUGUAUCAUCUGUAAUUUGAAUACAGAGCCUCUACACAAUACAUAUCACAGGAACUUAGAAGAUUCCAGCCCAAGGCCAGCUGUGAAGCAGCGGAUAGGCACUGUGCACUCCUAGUAUGCCUCUUGUCCAUUCAACAAGCUGCUCCCUGUGAAUCACUCUGCAGAUUUGGCUCUGCUCAACUUCCAGCUCCUCCUCAGCAUUUAAAUGACUAUGGGAGGGGAACAUUCUGGAUGGAUUCAGGACACCGAGGCUGCCACGACCCUGCUGCUACUCCUGCUCUUCUGCCUGCAGGUGCUGCAGGUCAGGAGGUCGUGCCCUGUCGUGGUUCCUGCCCUGAACACCCACUGAUUCUCUGCUCCUCCAGUCUAAGUAGGGGGACAUACAGUCCAGUUAUGUCUGUCAGACCAAUGGUGCCAGCUUAAGUGCAGUGACAUUUCUCCAGCCCAGGAUGAAAGCUGAGGACCAGGACUGUAUUCUGCACGUCACUCGCGACUGGCAGAUUUAUGCUCGGAUGCAUCUCUUCCACACUCCAGCAGCUCCUCCAGCACAAGAGCAAGACUUCCUGGAACUCUUUCGGCUACCCCUAGUGACUGGCUCUCCCCAACAGUGGUGCGUAAGGAAGGCAGUGAUGGCAUACGUCCAUCCCACAGGUGCAGGCAUGCCCGCUGUUGCUGAGGGGAGGUUGCUGAAGAUACUGCACUUUGCUUAGAUCUGUGGGCUACUGAUGAAACCCAUUAGGGCUCUCUCUCAUGUAAUGUAUUAUAAUUAACACACUCAACAAUAAAAAGGCGAAACAUUCUGACA